AAUGAACGUUGGCGGCGUGGAUUAGGCAUGCAAGUCGAGCGCGAACCCCGCAAGGGGUGAAAGCGGCGAAAGGGAGAGUAACGCGUGGGUAUUUACCCUCGGGACUGGGAUAGCUGCGGGAAACUGCAGGUAAUACCUGAUGACGUCCCCGGACCAAAGGUGUGAUUCCGCCUGAGGAUAAGCCCGCGUCCUAUUAGCUAGUUAGUGAGGUAAUGGCUCACCAAGGCAAUGAUGGGUACUGGGUGUGAGAGCACGACCCAGCUCACUGGGACUGAGACACUGCCCAGACACCUACGGGUGGCUGCAGUCGAGAAUCUUCGGCAAUGGGCGCAAGCCUGAACGAGCGACGCCGCGUGUGGGAUGAAGGCCUUCGGGUUGUAAACCGCUGUCAGAGGGGAGGAAUGGGCGGAGGGUAAUCUCUUCGUUUUGACCUAUCCUCAGAGGAAGUACGGGCUAAGUUCGUGCCAGCCGCCGCCGUAA
This 480-nucleotide ribosomal RNA is filed under the name uncultured bacterium. RNAcentral's name for it is "partial 16S ribosomal RNA". It matches the Rfam family "Bacterial small subunit ribosomal RNA", at positions 29 to 523 of the family's 1533-position model. The record is from RNAcentral.